GGAGGGUGUAGCUCAAUUGGUAGAGUGCAUGCUUAACAUGCAUGAGGUCCUGGGUUCAAUUCCCAGUACCUCCA
Molecule: transfer RNA, 74 nt
Filed under: Vicugna pacos (alpaca)
Lineage: Eukaryota; Metazoa; Chordata; Mammalia; Artiodactyla; Camelidae
Description: tRNA-Val (AAC) (tRNA-Val-AAC-39-1)
Rfam family: tRNA
About the family: Transfer RNA (tRNA) molecules are approximately 80 nucleotides in length. Their secondary structure includes four short double-helical elements and three loops (D, anti-codon, and T loops). Further hydrogen bonds mediate the characteristic L-shaped molecular structure. tRNAs have two regions of fundamental functional importance: the anti-codon, which is responsible for specific mRNA codon recognition, and the 3' end, to which the tRNAs corresponding amino acid is attached (by aminoacyl-tRNA synthetases). tRNAs cope with the degeneracy of the genetic code in two manners: having more than one tRNA (with a specific anti-codon) for a particular amino acid; and 'wobble' base-pairing, i.e. permitting non-standard base-pairing at the 3rd anti-codon position.
Source: RNAcentral